AAUAAUUCAUUGCUAGCUUCAGCUGGUAGUCACUGAGACCCUGGAACAUAUGCUGCCUUUCAGAGAAUGAAACGAGUUGUUUAAUAAUCAGAUAAAGAGCUCCGUGGGCGACUAAGGAAAUCUCAGAACUAUUUGCAUGGAGAGGCAAUUGUCUGGAAAAUGUUUCAUAAUGGACAUAGAACUUUGAAAGUCACAGAUGACACCCAAGUCCGUAUAUUUAUCACACCUUGCUAGGUUUGUGGCCAGUACUUUCUCCACACUCCAAAAGCAAUGUGUUUGCAGCACAUUGCCCUCAUCUGCUAGGGUUCUUUCCAAAGAAUUAAAUCCCAUAUCCUGUAAGAGUUUUCUCAUAUCAACAAGCUCUUCUUUAACCAACUCACUCCAUCCGGCAUUCCAUUCAUAUUCUUCCAACUCUGGCUGCCACAUGUUAGAAAGAGGGUAGCUUUACUGGGUCAGUUGUCAUCAGCCUGUCUCUGUCAUCAGUCACCUCAGUGCUGAUACCUUGGGUACCUCCACAAAGAGUAAGUUGCCUUGGUUGCUGAGAUGGGAGCUGAACAUGAGCACAAUUUCAGGGGCUCCCACUUACCAUGACUGGUAUAUUUACUGUCACCGCUGGAAGUCCAGUCUGACAGCAAUGGAGACCGACACUAAGUCCCAAUACGACACUCUCACUUGAUGGAAAGUUGACCACCUGCUGCCACUCUAGAAGAGGUGGAAGUGAUCCAUCUUGAUUGGAAUCAACACAUUUUCUGGGUGUAGGUUUGCCUUUCCCACAGGGCUCAGCCAGAAUCCUAGCUAUCCAAGGGCUUACAGAGUGUUUUAUGCACUGAUGUGGGGUUUGCUAGAACAUUUCAUUGGACAAAAGAACCCACUCUACCUCAAAAGAAGUAUGACAGUGGGUAUGGGACCAUGGGAUCCACUAGUCCUCUAUACUGCACCCUCCAGAAACUUCUAGCUUGAAAGAGAAAUAAAAUAGCCUUUCGAAAGUGCAGUUGAGGUGCCAUCUUAGAGUUGACAAAAUGAAACGGCAUCAUCCUGGGGGACAGAGUAUCUCCCCUAAACUAACAGAGUAUCUCCCCUAAACUAACUUGCACCUUGUUAGUACAUGAGUCUGGGAAAUACAAGGUGCAAGUAUGAAUGGCUCAGUUUGUAGUCACUCCCAGUGGUCCCAUGGGGAAUUUCUGCUUUAGUCUUCCAUCUGUGGGUCUAUAGGCCCUACAUACGUCCACUGGGGAAUGCUGUAUGAGUACCACUAAACUUUAAGGUAUGAGUCCCACCUAGUCACUUCGUAAUCUUUGUACAAAAAACACCAGCAAGCAAGGAAAAAGU
This 1329-nucleotide long non-coding RNA is filed under the name Marmota monax (woodchuck). Lineage: Eukaryota; Metazoa; Chordata; Mammalia; Rodentia; Sciuridae. The record is from RNAcentral.